UUUGCCAAAAUCAGAUUUUCCAGCCUGUGAAUGUGUCUGUGUGCCUGCAUGCAGAGCUCUGAGAACUACUCCAGUGGCAGUGCGUGUUCGGCUGGGUGAGCUCUGGAGCUGGCUAUGGGCCUGACAGGCCCUGAGCUUCUGGUGUUGGAUGCUGUGCUCAGUGUGGAGCUCUGCACCACCCAGCCUAUGUGGCAUAGCUCAGCUCAGCUGGCUGAGCUCUGCAGGUGGCUAUGGCCCCGACAGGCCCCGGGGCUUCUGGUAUUGGUCUUAAGACCAGCUCUGCCAUGAUGAGAGCACUAAUGGCAACCUUCCUACCUGAGAGCAGAUCUUUGCAACGCAAGCAUACAGCAAGAGGCUAUUACAGUAUCAUGGGGAGACCACGCUGCCCAACCAGGACCUCAGCCCCCAUCGGCUCUUCUUCCUAAGCUAUGCCCAGACCUUGUAUCCAGGGCUGGUUCCACCUUGACACGACACACUUCUGUACCCGUGCUCCCUCUGCAAAAGCAGUCCCGAAUUCCUCAACACAUUUAGAGACACCCUCGAAGAAUCCUCCAUCAAACCCACUUCCCUACC
Heterocephalus glaber (naked mole-rat) is the source of this 573-nucleotide long non-coding RNA. NCBI's taxonomy places the organism in Eukaryota, Metazoa, Chordata, Mammalia, Rodentia, Bathyergidae. The record is from Ensembl.